RNAcentral lists this long non-coding RNA (533 nucleotides) under Homo sapiens (human). RNAcentral describes it as "HSALNT0036957". The record is from RNAcentral. Lineage: Eukaryota; Metazoa; Chordata; Mammalia; Primates; Hominidae.
UAGGAGCCAGAUAAUUAAUCCAACAUUUAUCUGAAAUGCUGAACUAACUUGCAUAAUUCUUCAAAUGAAUAUCACACCUUCGAUGGGGACAUACAAAUUGUUUCAACCUGAGGCUUGAAAAUAUGUGUCAUAAAGCAUUCUGAUUUAUCAAGAACACGUUGUAAUUUGUUGCAUUUGGAAUGUAGCUACCUAACUUCCUGAAUAUUUUAAUAAAAUACCUGUAAAAUUACACAAUCAAAACUAUACCUCCACCAAGCAAAGUGACAGAGAUGGUACUAACAUCAACAAAAAGGAACAUCUGUGUGGCUGCCAACUUCUACUGAAAUCUGUAGCAUGCUUUUUUAGAAGUGGAGGAAAAAAGAAUAAAAAACCUGAGGGAGAAAACGAGAGCAAAGAGAGAUUAAGUUGUCAAAGAUCACUCAGGAAGUGUGUAUGAAAAAUACUAGACAGGUCUUUCACUUGGAGACUUGUGUACUACAGCACACAUUUGAUUUACUUGGGCAGAACCACUUAAUCACUGGGUAUUGGCUUUG